This 253-nucleotide ribosomal RNA is filed under the name uncultured bacterium. Its description in RNAcentral is "partial 16S ribosomal RNA". It matches the Rfam family "Bacterial small subunit ribosomal RNA", at positions 524 to 776 of the family's 1533-position model. The record is from RNAcentral.
UACGGAGGGAGCUAGCGUUAUUCGGAAUUACUGGGCGUAAAGCGCACGUAGGCGGCUUUGUAAGUUAGAGGUGAAAGCCUGGAGCUCAACUCCAGAAUCGCCUUUAAGACUGCAUCGCUUGAAUCCAGGAGAGGUGAGUGGAAUUCCGAGUGUAGAGGUGAAAUUCGUAGAUAUUCGGAAGAACACCAGUGGCGAAGGCGGCUCACUGGACUGGUAUUGACGCUGAGGAGCGAAAGCGUGGGGAGCAAACAGG